UACGACUGGUGCAAGCGUUAAUCGGAAUUACUGGGCGUAAAGCGCGCGUAGGUGGUUCGUUAAGUUGGAUGUGAAAGCCCCGGGCUCAACCUGGGAACUGCAUCCAAAACUGGCGAGCUAGAGUAUGGCAGAGGGUGGUGGAAUUUCCUGUGUAGCGGUGAACGGCGUAGAUAUAGGAAGGAACACCAGUGGCGAAGGCGACCACCUGUGAUAAUACUGAAACUGAGGGUCUACAGCGUGGGUCGCCAACCGGAUUAGAUAUC
This 263-nucleotide ribosomal RNA is filed under the name uncultured bacterium. RNAcentral's name for it is "partial 16S ribosomal RNA". It matches the Rfam family "Bacterial small subunit ribosomal RNA", at positions 524 to 786 of the family's 1533-position model. The record is from RNAcentral.